UGAUUUAAGGUUUGGUUAGGAUCAGGGUUAUAUUUGGAUUAGGAUUAGGAUUUUGGUUUUGAUUUAAAAUUUGAUUAUGUUUAGAGUUUGAUUAGGAUUUAUGUAGGAUUUAACUAGGAUUUGUUUAUGGUUUGAUUAGGGCUUAUUUAUGAUUUUUCUUAGAUUUGAUUAGGAUUUAUUUAUGAUUUGGUUAGGAUUUGUUUAUAAUUUGAUUAAUAUUUGAUAAGAAUUUGAUUAGAAUUUGAUUAAGAUUUUACUAAAAUUAGAUUAGAGCUUAUUUAGGAUUUGUCAAGGAUUUGACUAGGAUUUGACUAGGAUUUGAUUAGGAAUUGAUUAGGAUUUGAAUAGGAUUUGAUUAGAAAUUAUAUAGGAUUUAUUUAGGAUUUUGCUUGAAUUUAUUUAAGAUUUGAUUAGAAUUUGUUUAGGAUUUAAUUAAGAUUUGAUUAGAAUUUGACUAAGAUUUGUAUAGGAUUUGGUUAGGGCUUAUUUAGGAUUUGUCUAAGAUUUGAGUAGGAUUUUAUUAGAAUUUAUUUAAGAUUUUAUUAAGAUUUGAUUGGAAUUUUAUUGGAAUUUU
This 574-nucleotide long non-coding RNA is filed under the name Physcomitrium patens. Its description in RNAcentral is "long non-coding RNA (PPAT_LNC003759)". Lineage: Eukaryota; Viridiplantae; Streptophyta; Bryopsida; Funariales; Funariaceae. The record is from RNAcentral.